GACGGAGGAUGCAAGCGUUAUCCGGAAUGAUUGGGCGUAAAGCGUCCGCAGGUGGCAGUUCAAGUCUGCUGUCAAAGACCGGGGCUUAACUUCGGAAAGGCAGUGGAAACUGAACAGCUAGAGUAUGGUAGGGGCAGAGGGAAUUCCUGGUGUAGCGGUGAAAUGCGUAGAGAUCAGGAAGAACAUCGGUGGCGAAGGCGCUCUGCUGGACCAUAACUGACGCUGAGACGCGAAAGCGUGGGGAGCGAACAGG
This 253-nucleotide ribosomal RNA is filed under the name uncultured bacterium. RNAcentral describes it as "partial 16S ribosomal RNA". It matches the Rfam family "Bacterial small subunit ribosomal RNA", at positions 524 to 776 of the family's 1533-position model. The record is from RNAcentral.